GAUGAACGCUGGCGGCGUGCCUAAUACAUGCAAGUCGAGCGAACAGACGAGGAGCUUGCUCCUUCGACGUUAGCGGCGGACGGGUGAGUAACACGUAGGUAACCUACCUAUAAGACUGGGAUAACUUCGGGAAACCGGAGCUAAUACCGGAUAAUAUUUCGAACCGCAUGGUUCGAUAGUGAAAGAUGGCUUUGCUAUCACUUAUAGAUGGACCUGCGCCGUAUUAGCUAGUUGGUAAGGUAACGGCUUACCAAGGCAACGAUACGUAGCCGACCUGAGAGGGUGAUCGGCCACACUGGAACUGAGACACGGUCCAGACUCCUACGGGAGGCAGCAGUAGGGAAUCUUCCGCAAUGGGCGAAAGCCUGACGGAGCAACGCCGCGUGAGUGAUGAAGGUCUUCGGAUCGUAAAACUCUGUUAUUAGGAAAGAGCAAACGUGUAAGUAACUGUGCACGUCUUGACGGUACCUAAUCAGAAAGCCACGGCUAACUACGUG
Molecule: ribosomal RNA, 497 nt
Filed under: uncultured bacterium
Lineage: Bacteria
Description: partial 16S ribosomal RNA
Rfam family: Bacterial small subunit ribosomal RNA
Source: RNAcentral